UGCAUGCGUGUUAGUUAUCUGCCUUUCGCUCGUCGCAGGGUUCAUGUCCACCAGAGGAGCCCAGGACUCUCAGACCUGCCCAACAUGCUGAGACGUUCUGGGGCCCCGCCAGACACAUGUAUACCACAGUUCUUUCAAAGAGCACCCUCCUUUCCAAACUGUCCCCAGAAAGCUUUGAGAAUCAGUGAGAGUCACUGCUCAGAAAGGAAGAUUUUUCUUCAGCAGGUUCAGUCCAAGAGGCAGCCAGCCGCAUGAGGAAUGUUCCUGCGUCAUUUCUAAAGCAGCUGUGGACGAUGUUGGUCUGGGCCACCAGGGUUGCUCUCCCCCCGGGCCUGACCCGUGUUCUGGAGUCUUUUAUGAAUUGGCUGGCAAGAAUAUCUGACUAGUGUAUCAACUUUUAGGAGUAAAGCAUCCCAGGACUCUCCGCCGGGACUAUUUAGGUCUUCCAUACCCAAGAGAAGGCAUUUUUAAGAAUGAUCUCUGCAUCAGUUUGUUAACUGCUGAGUAACAAGUUAGCACAAAUGCAGCAACUUAAAACAACACACACAUUUAUCAUCUCACAGGUUCCAUUGGUCAGAAGACAUGGUACGGCUUAGCUGGGUCUUCGGCGCAAGAGCUCGCAAAACUGAAACCAAGGUCUAGGCUGGGUUGUAGUCUCAUCAGGAGGCUCACCUGGGGAAAGAUCCACUUCCAAGCUCACUGGGUUGUGGCCAAAGUCAUUUCCUUGUGGCCGUGUGACCAAGGUCCCUGGCUUUUCUGCUGGCUGGGAGCUGGAGGCCACCCUUAGGUCCUGGAAGCCACCCCCCCUCCCCCACCCCAGUUUCUUGCCACAUGGGCUUUCCCAACAUGGCUGCCAACUUCAUCAGGCCAGUGGGGAGAAACACUCACUCUGGCCUGGAGUUUUAUAUAAAACUCCAUAAUCAUUUGAUUGAAAGCUUAUCAGCCUUUCCUUAUAACAACCUAACCAUGGAAGCGACAUCCCAUCAGCCCUACCCUACUCCGUUGGGUAGAAACAAGUCACAGAUUCUACCAGGGUGGAUAUUAUUUGGGUGACCUUGGGAUUCUUCCUCCACAAUCCUUCACACCUUGGUGAAUCAGCCUGCAUGUACUCACCUCUAUUGAAGAGGGAGCUCCUCCUACUCCAUGCCAGGCAGCACACACACUGGUCUCUGCAGACAGCCAAGUAGGGAUGAUGGGCCUAUGAGCAGAUAACGGCCCUAUGGUAAGGCACAUGCCAAAGGCUGCAUGUUUGAAGGGGUGGGGUCACAUAGGAUAGAGUGUCUCCUUGGGCUGGGAGGGCAGGGCAGGGCAGAGGGUCAGCGAGGGCUUCCCAAAGGAGCGGACACUGGCGCAGCCUUGAUGGAUCAGUAGGACGUUGAGGAAGACAGAAAUGGUGGCAGAGAAGUCCAAGAUGUGGAGGCAAAAAGGCAAGGGGGGUCUGGGGAGGUAUGAGUGAUCCGGUGUGACCAAUACAAGCACCCUGAGGAGAUGGGGGUGACGCUAAAUUACUGAGGGACUUAUAGGCCAGGCUUAGAGGUGUCUUCCUUCUGGGGUCCAUGGAAGGUCACCAUGAUGCCAUAACUGGGGAACUGGGGACAAUGGCAUGAUAAGCUUGGGGCUUCAGAGAGAGAGGACUUCCAGCAGGAGGCUGAGCUGGGAAGUCACUGUGGGCAGAAGACAAGCCUGGCUCGUCUGUACUAAAGAGGGCCCCCUCCCCGCUCUCCCGCACAGAAACCUCGGGGAAGGCAGACCUUCUUAGAGCCAUUUCAGGCAGCCAGGUUGUCAGAAUGAUGAGUUCUGCAGCCUAGCAGUUCUGAACCAAAGGAGAAAAAAGUCCCAACAAGCCCCAUCUCACUGCCCUUGACCUUGUAGUAGAGUUCUAAGUGCAAAAUCUGUCAUCUAUUAAUCUGUUAGAAGUUGACAAAAGGGACUUUGAUCAGAGGUUGUUUUUCCCCCUUCUUAAGUUUCCUGAUGACACAUAAUAGCCCAUUUCAGCCUGAGGGCCGGAAGCACGGCCCUCAUUCUGCUCACUUCAACCCCAGUGGCCUCCCGCCCCGUGGCUUUCUCCCCGCCCCGAUAUUAAUUGGCCUGUAAGUGGUUACAUGUGUUCCUUUUUAUGUGUCAGUUGGAGUCUGUUAUUUGAACUUCACAGCUAUUUGGGAACACAGGAGUGAUGCUCUGGGCCCAAGUUGGGAAAUGGAACAGUCCAGAAUUUGUUGUGCUGGCUCCUACCUCCCGAUUUUUUUUCUUCCUCUAUCCCUUGAGGUCUUGAUGUCCCCCGCCACCACCCCCGCUCCCUCCCUAUCAUGCUCCUCUGCGUGAGGCCCCCUGACACAACACGGCAGCCCAGCUCUUGGAACCAUGAAGUUCACAGCCAAGAGAAGCCUCGGGGAACCCCAAACUGUAGCUUCUGGUUUUAAAGAAAUUAAAAGCCCUG
This is a long non-coding RNA of Zalophus californianus (California sea lion), 2437 nucleotides long. RefSeq lists it as uncharacterized. The record is from RefSeq and is a predicted model, not a curated record. Lineage: Eukaryota; Metazoa; Chordata; Mammalia; Carnivora; Otariidae. The transcript is spliced from 4 exons.